GCUCUCUUUGGCAAAAUAUAGACUAGAACUAGAAAGAUACAGAGAAGAUUAGCAUGGCCCCUGAGCAACGAUGACACACAAAUUCAUGAAGCAUUCUAUAUUUUA
Small nuclear RNA from Molossus molossus (Pallas's mastiff bat), 105 nucleotides. The record is from RefSeq and is a predicted model, not a curated record. NCBI's taxonomy places the organism in Eukaryota, Metazoa, Chordata, Mammalia, Chiroptera, Molossidae.